UACGAAGGGGGCUAGCGUUGUUCGGAGUUACUGGGCGUAAAGGGCGCGUAGGCGGCUCACCAAGUCAGGCGUGAAAGCCCUGGGCUCAACCCGGGAAUUGCGCUUGAGACUGGUGUGCUCGAGUACGGGAGAGGAUAGUGGAAUUCCCAGUGUAGAGGUGAAAUUCGUAGAUAUUGGGAAGAACACCGGUGGCGAAGGCGGCUAUCUGGACCGUAACUGACGCUGAGGCGCGAAAGCGUGGGGAGCAAACAGG
RNAcentral lists this ribosomal RNA (253 nucleotides) under uncultured bacterium. RNAcentral's name for it is "partial 16S ribosomal RNA". It matches the Rfam family "Bacterial small subunit ribosomal RNA", at positions 524 to 776 of the family's 1533-position model. The record is from RNAcentral.